This 1601-nucleotide ribosomal RNA is filed under the name uncultured marine eukaryote. Its description in RNAcentral is "SSU rRNA". It matches the Rfam family "Eukaryotic small subunit ribosomal RNA", at positions 383 to 1807 of the family's 1831-position model. The record is from RNAcentral.
UCGGAGAGGGAGCCUGAGAAACGGCUGCCAUGUCUAAGGACAGCAGCAGGCGCGCAAAUUGCCCAAUACUAGCAUGAGCGAGGCAGCGACGAGAAGUAUUUACCUUGUGCUACAUUGUAUCACGAGGAUAGAAAUGGGUGAUAUCCAAAACCAUCACUGAGGAUCGAUUGGAGGGCAAGUCUGGUGCCAGCAGCCGCGGUAAUUCCAGCUCCAAUAGCGUAUACUAAUGCUGUUGCUGUUAAACAGCUCGUAGUUCGAUAAGGAUCGAUUCUGGUUCAGAUACAGUGCUUCGCAGCUUUGCUGCAAGUACUCGUUGAGAUCCGCUUGGAAUUGGUUCUGCAAUGAGUAACUCGUACGGUGGAAGAGCUCUUCAUUGAGCUUGGAAACGCUUUCGCAGCCAACAUCUGCACAAGUACAGUCGUUCGUGAUACCGUGAACAAAACAGCGUGCUCAAAGCAAGUGAUUCUGCUCGAAUGUUCAAGCAUGGAAUAUCAAGGAAUCGACCAUGAGUAUAAUCUUUGCUGGUUUCUGUAUGCGUCUUGGAGAAUUGGACCUGAGAAUAUCGUGCCGUAGUCAGUUCCUCCGGGUUCUGCUAUGGUACUAAGCUCUAGUUUGCCGGUAUUAACAGGGAUGAACGGAGCAGUGUGUAUUGGCUCGCGAGAGGUGAAAUUCUUAGACCGUGCCAAGACAAACGUAAGCGAAGGCAUUCUGCAAGUAUAUCUUCACUAAUCAAGAACGAGAGUGCAGGGAUCGAAGAUGAUCAGAUACCGUCGUAGUCUGCUACUGUAAACGAUGCGAACUCGGGAUCAGCCGUCGCCAAUCUUUUCGAUUACCAGGCUGGAACCUACUUACUUCUCCUAGCGCGAAAGCUUUAAGUUUAUGCGUUCAGGGGGGAGUACAGUUGCAAGGCUGAAACUUAAAGGAAUUGACGGAAUGACACCACAAGGCGUGGAUGCUGCGGCUUAAUUUGACUCAACACGGGGAAUCUCACCAGGUCAGGACGCAUGUUGGAUUGACAGAUUGAAAGCUCUUUCUUGAUUAUGUGUAUGGUGGUGCAUGGCCGCUCCUGGUUGGUGGAGUGAUUUGUCUGGUUGAUUCCGUUAACGAACGAGAUCUUGGCCCUUCAAUGACAGUUUGAUCGAUUGUAAUUCAGUCAACGUGCUUGCAUGCUUGUACUGGAUGAGAUCUUGUCUUGUACUCAAGGGGACGAUGCAUGUUUACAAUGCAUGGAAGUGCGAGCCAAUAGCAGGUCUGUGAUGCUCCUAGAUGUCCUGGGCUGCACGCGGCAUACAAUGGUGAAGAAAACGAGUUUGGUUUGUUUGAGCUCCUUGUGCGAAAUCAUUGGGGAAUCUGUGGAAACUUCAUCGUAUUGGGGAUCGUUGCUUGCAAUUAUUUGCCUUGAACCAGGAAUGCCUUGUAGACACAACUCAGCAAAUUGUAUCGAAUACGUCCCUGCCGUUUGUACACACCGCCCGUCGUUGCAAUCGAUCGGUUCAAUGCUAGAGGUCUUCCAGAGGUGAGUUCGAUCCUGUAUUGUCUUUGCCAAAGUUGAUCAAUAGCAUUGAACUAGAGGAUGCAAAAGUCGUAACAAGGUAGCCGUA